UUCUGGAGGCUGGGAAGUCCAAGAUCAAGCUGCCAACAGAUUUGGUGUCUGGUGAGGCUGCACACUCCAGAGGGGCAGAACGCUGUGACCUCACAUGGCAGAACUGAAGAGCAACCUAAGGACAAGGUGUGUAUGAUAAAGCAGUGGGAACCAGGCAAAGAAGAUCAUUAAAGCCCUUACCAGCCAAGGUAUGAAGUUUCCAUUUUAUUUUAUACAAAUGUCUAUUACAGAGUUAAGGAUUCCAGGUCAUUCCAUCUUCAUAUCACCUCUGAUACCUAACAUCAUGCCUGGAACACAGUAGGCCUCCUCUUUACACUUUCUAAACUGAUUUAAAAUAGUUUUUGUCAUCUCUAAGUGAUAAAAUCUGGGGAAAUAGAGUUAAAACUAAAGUUAAAUCUAAUACAUUUGCAAACAAAUUUCUUAUUUCCAUGUGUUUGCUUUCAUUAUUUUAAUACCCAA
This 459-nucleotide long non-coding RNA is filed under the name Homo sapiens (human). RNAcentral's name for it is "HSALNT0180365". The record is from RNAcentral. Lineage: Eukaryota; Metazoa; Chordata; Mammalia; Primates; Hominidae.